UACGGAGGGGGCAAGCGUUAAUCGGAAUUACUGGGCGUAAAGCGUGCGCAGGCGGUUAUUUAAGACAGAUGUGAAAUCCCCGGGCUCAACCUGGGAACUGCGUCUGAUACUGGAUGGCUUGAAUUCGGGAGAGGGAUGCAGAAUUCCAGGUGUAGCGGUGAAAUGCGUAGAUAUCUGGAGGAAUACCGGUGGCGAAGGCGGCAUCCUGGACCGACAUUGACGCUGAUGAGCGAAAGCUAGGGGAGCAAACGGG
Molecule: ribosomal RNA, 253 nt
Filed under: uncultured bacterium
Lineage: Bacteria
Description: partial 16S ribosomal RNA
Rfam family: Bacterial small subunit ribosomal RNA
Source: RNAcentral